Molecule: transfer RNA, 83 nt
Filed under: Canis lupus familiaris (dog)
Lineage: Eukaryota; Metazoa; Chordata; Mammalia; Carnivora; Canidae
Also listed under: 1 other name
Rfam family: tRNA
About the family: Transfer RNA (tRNA) molecules are approximately 80 nucleotides in length. Their secondary structure includes four short double-helical elements and three loops (D, anti-codon, and T loops).
Source: Rfam by way of RNAcentral
GCCUGGGUAGCUCAGCAGUUGAGCGUCUGCCUUUGGCUCAGGUCACAAUCCCCAGGUCGUGGGAUUGAGUCCCACAUCAGGCU